This 399-nucleotide transfer-messenger RNA is filed under the name Candidatus Moraniibacteriota bacterium. It matches the Rfam family "transfer-messenger RNA". Rfam says of the family: Bacterial tmRNA, also known as 10Sa RNA or SsrA, is named for its dual tRNA and mRNA-like properties. Its role is to liberate the mRNA from a stalled ribosome. To accomplish this part of the tmRNA is used as a reading frame that ends in a translation stop signal. Lineage: Bacteria; Candidatus Moraniibacteriota. The record is from RNAcentral. RNAcentral also lists the same sequence under 1 other name.
GGGGCUGCUUAGCUUCGACAGAUUGCACCUUAAAAAAUACGCAAGUCGACCAUUCAUAAUACAAGUCGAAAAAAUGUUUAUGAAAGAUAUCUAAGUGCAAACUUUAUAUCAAAAGUAAAGGCAACUUUCGCAAGAAACUUCGCUUUUGCUUCAGCUAUUGCCUAAUACAGGCCGGUAGCCAUCAAGCUGUUGAUUCUCAAUAAACAGAUCUUGGUGCCAACCAUUGAGAUAGUCGGACACAAUUAUUCUUGAUUGUUUCCGAUAAAAUAUUCCAAGAACGUAUUAUUGAUGUUUUGUCUGUUUUUCAGUCAAUAAUCCGUACUAAAUAAACAAACUAAACUUGUAGAAUAUUUUUUAAUUUCAAUUUGGACAUGGGUUCAAUUCCCAUCAGCUCCACGU